UGGCGCGCGGGAGCCGGGCGCAAGCAGAGCGCAGCCGCCAGGGAGGCGCGGGGGUGGCGAGCCGGAGCCGGAGCCCGAGCCCGACCAGCAGCCGCUAGUGUUGGCGGAGAGCAACCGGGCGCAACCAGAGCCGCCGCCGCCGCGAUGGCCGUAGCCGUGGGGAGACCAUCUAAUGAAGAGCUUCGAAACUUAUCCCUUUCUGGCCAUGUUGGAUUUGACAGUCUCCCCGACCAGCUGGUCAACAAGUCAACUUCUCAAGGAUUCUGUUUCAACAUCCUGUGUGUUGGUGAGACGGGCAUCGGCAAAUCCACGUUAAUGGACACGUUAUUCAACACCAAAUUUGAAAGUGACCCAGCGACUCACAAUGAACCAGGUGUCCGGUUAAAAGCCAGAAGUUAUGAGCUUCAGGAAAGCAAUGUGCGGCUGAAGUUAACCAUCGUUGACACCGUGGGAUUUGGAGAUCAGAUCAAUAAAGAUGACAGCUACAAGCCGAUUGUGGAAUAUAUCGAUGCCCAGUUUGAGGCCUACUUGCAAGAGGAACUGAAGAUCAAACGUUCUCUCUUCAACUACCAUGACACCAGGAUCCACGCAUGUCUCUACUUCAUCGCCCCCACUGGCCAUUCGCUCAAGUCCCUGGACCUGGUCACCAUGAAGAAGCUGGACAGUAAGGUGAACAUCAUUCCAAUAAUUGCCAAAGCGGACACCAUUGCCAAGAACGAAUUGCACAAAUUCAAGAGUAAGAUCAUGAGUGAACUAGUCAGCAACGGCGUCCAGAUCUAUCAGUUCCCUACAGAUGAAGAAACAGUGGCAGAGAUUAACGCAACGAUGAGUGUCCACCUCCCUUUUGCGGUGGUCGGCAGCACCGAAGAGGUGAAGAUCGGCAACAAGAUGGCGAAGGCCAGGCAGUACCCCUGGGGUGUGGUGCAGGUGGAGAAUGAAAACCACUGUGACUUUGUGAAACUCCGAGAGAUGCUGAUCCGUGUGAACAUGGAAGAUUUACGAGAACAGACUCACACCCGCCAUUAUGAACUGUAUCGGCGCUGUAAGCUCGAGGAGAUGGGCUUCAAGGACACCGACCCUGACAGCAAGCCCUUCAGUCUUCAGGAGACGUAUGAAGCCAAAAGGAAUGAAUUUCUGGGAGAACUUCAGAAGAAAGAAGAAGAGAUGAGACAGAUGUUUGUCAUGAGAGUGAAGGAGAAAGAAGCUGAACUUAAAGAGGCAGAGAAAGAGCUCCACGAGAAAUUCGACCUCCUCAAGCGGACACACCAAGAAGAGAAGAAGAAAGUGGAAGACAAGAAGAAGGAGCUGGAGGAGGAGGUGAACAAUUUCCAGAAGAAGAAGGCAGCCGCCCAGUUGCUCCAGUCCCAGGCCCAACAGUCUGGGGCCCAGCAAACCAAGAAAGACAAGGAUAAGAAAAAAUGACUGCCAUCUUUCCACCUUGGAGACAGUGUUGGCAACAUGGCUCACUUUGAAGAUCCUUGCAUUUGAAUCCUUAAGACUGUGGUAUUUAGUCCUUGUGAUUGUUACCAUGUAGCUUUCAGAUCAGUCUCUAGCCAACAAGUGGCACCCUCAGGGCUGAAUGUGUUAAUAUGAAAAGACUAAUUGCAAGCCUGGGUAUCUGCUCACCUCCUUUUCCAACCUUCCUAUUCUGACAGGCAGCUGUAAAUAAAUGAGAUCUUUUGAUUAUUAGUGGAACAUCGUAGGAGGUACAGAUGAAGAUUUCAUGUCUUCCUCAAGUCAGUUAUUUGCAGUACUGUGAAUUGAAACGGCCUGUCAGUCCACUAUGGAAACUUUCUUGGCACCAAAGAAAAGCUUUUUUUCUUGGCAAAUUAUGGCACCGAGAGGCAUGAAGCUUUAAGGUCUGGCUAACUGCCACCACCUCCAGGAAGUCUAUCUUGACUAACUACCAGCGAUCACUUUCCAGGCUGAUGUAUUCUAUAGGUAUCUUUGGACAUUUCUCAACCAAUUCUUAUUCAUACCUAAAAAACCCUGUAGCACACAGUAUGACUUUGCAACACCACAGAGAAAAUAAAGGAAAAAAACAUGCUCUGCAAGAACAUAUUUGGUGACAAAACUUUUUAUCUCUAAAUAUACUCCUUGCUGGAACUUCCCCUGCAGUCUAGUGUUAAAACUCCACCUUCCAAUGCAGGGGGUGACAGUUCAGUCCCUGGUUGGGGAACUAAGGUCCCACAUGCUACAGGGUGGUGUGGCCAAAAAUUUUUUAAAUAAUCAUAAAAUGCAUUAAAAUAAACUCAUUACCUAUUACCCAGGAAAGUAUACAAAGAUGAGAGGCUAGUGUUAGUCAUCAUGUACAAAUAUAACAGUGUCUGAAAUUACCAGAAACUAUAUAUGAAAAUGACCAUUUUUCAUAUGUAUUUUGUUCACCAAUUUUUUCCCCUAGUUUGAAAGGCUCUAGCUAACACCCUAACAGGCAAGAUAUUAUUAACUAGUAUUAGAAUUUCUUUUCUCUUAAAACAAAAAAAGUUUUAUAAUAACUUUUAAGAUUAUAACUGUAGGCUAAGGCUUAUCAUGUCCCAGGGAUGUGAAAUAAGCUAAGCCAUGCUAAAAACAGUGGAAUGGGACUUCCCUGGUGGUCCAGUGGCUAAAAAGACUGUGCUCCCAAUGCAGGAGGCCUGGGUUCGACUCCUGGUGAAGGAAGUAGAUCCCACAUGCUGCAAAUAAGACCUAGUGCAGCCAAAUUAAAAAACAAAGACAGUGGAACAAAGCACACAGGAGAGAGAUGGGGCUUCAGAGUUCUUUAAGGCACCUGGUACUCCAGGCCAGGACCCCACUUCUUCAAAUAGCCUCCAAAAGACAGGUAACAGAAAAAAAGGAAUUGGGACAUGGAAAGAAGACUACAGUGUAAAAAAAAUUAUGUCUAAAAAGUAAGUACCCAGUUUAUUAUGUUGUUCUUCAACAAAUGAAUUACACUAAUGGCCGAGAAAAGUAAAAAUAUCACAAAUAUUCUAAUGCCUUAGUCACUGGGCAUAUAGUAUCACAGAAGAAGCCUGAAGAAAAACAUGUUUUUCAAGUAAAAAGAAGACUGUGUCACUAAAAACUUUCUCUGUAGAAGUAGUAAGUAAAUGUGAGGACUGGCAGAAAACAGGGCUAGAAAGACACUGAAGGUUUUGCAAAUUGAUACCACCUAAUGAAGCUUCGCAAGGUGGUGCAGUGGUAAAGAAUCUGCCUGCCAAUGCAGGAAACGCAAGAGGCGGGUGUGAUCCCUGGGUCCGGAAGAUCGCUUGGAGUAGGAAACGGCAACCAACUUCAGUACUGCCUCGAAAGUUCCAUGGACAGAGGAGCCUGGCAGGCUAUAUCCAGGGGUCAGAAAGCGUUGGACACAACGGAGCAUGCAAGCACACAGACCAUCUAAUGAUGGUUUACCCAAGUUAAAUCCUCUGUCCAAAGUAAUUCAUCAACAUAAAUUCCUUCUAUUGCAACCUGAGUUUGUUCUAAGAAAAUAAAAUAAUAUGGCCCUUGCUAAGAUACAGUGGAAGAAACAAAAUAAGCAUAUAUACUGGAAUUACUGCAACUUUAGACACCAGACAAGUUCUCUAAUGAAAUUCAUAGAAUGAUUUAGUUGCAGAGUGUCAGGAGAACCUUUAUUGUUAUUUUUUAGGACGACCAUCUCCCUCAAUGGUAACUAAAGUAUCCCUUGCUAGAAAAACAAACAGAACUGUAAUUCAGCUUACCAAGGAGGUAAGGCAAAUAGCCUCAAACAUUUACAGAGCAGACAGCCGAACAGGUUACUGAUGGGAAAGGGGGAUCGGAAUAGCAUUAUGUAACUGAUUCAGAUGGACCCAUCAGGUUCAGUGGAUAGCAUAAAGCCCUGAAAACACCUAGUGCCCUAAGGAGUCAGACUCGAGGCACCUUCAGGAAGGACUAGAAGACCUGGUGGGGAGGGCCUGCUUCUUGAACUCCAUACUCUUACACUACACCACAGAGGUAAACUUAUACUUUGACUAGGGACCUUGGUUAGAGAUAGGAAGUUAAAGUCAAGUCAAGUCGCUCAGUCGUGUCUGACUCUGCGACCCUGUGGACUGUAGCCCGCCAGGAUCCUCUGUCCAUGGGAUUCUCCAGGCAAGAAUACUGGAGUGGGUUGCCAUUUCCUUCUCCAGGGGAUCUUCCCAACCCAGGGAUCAAACCCGGGUCUCCUGCAUUGCAGGCAGAUGCUUUAUCGCUUUAGGGACAGGAAGACCACCAAGCUAAUCUGGGGAGAUUUAACAUCCUGAGAUUAUCAAGGCAGACGGCAUCGAUCAGAAAGAGGAGAACAUGAGUACAGCCACAGAAACAGAGCAAUGAGAGGAGUAAGAAGAAAGAGGGUUAGCCAGCUCAGAAUGAUGACCAAAAGGUAGCAUAAGAGGUAAGAGGGGUGGUGAUAUGGCAGUAGAGUGGGUGAGGGGACUAGAAUAGACAAGAGAAAGCUUGCCUUUCAAAACCAGGAAACACUCCCUGUACUUUGUCUGAAGUUCAGAGGGAACACAGGCAGAGCUGCUGACAAUGGGGCCCCUCACAGCAUGGAUGCCUGUGAUGGACCAAUGGCAGUCCUCUCAAACCACGACACUGGGAAACAUGUCAGAAGUAAUGUCGGCACCAUCUUAGCAAUCUGAUGCAAGAACUUCCUAUAUAACAACCAGAAAUCCAGGAGGAGUAUCUGAUAUUACUAGGGCUUUGUCACAGGUCUAAUUACAAAGAUACUAGACUUAGUGUUCCUAUGUGAACAGAGAUGAACUUAGCAAAAAUAACUGAGUCUUAAAGAAUAAGGAGCCACUCAUAUUUGGGCCUGGGGAAGGCAAUGGCUACCCACUCUAGUAGUCUUGCCUGGAGAAUCCCAUGGACAGAGGAGCCUGGCGGGCUAUAGUCCAUGUGGUUGCAAAGAGUUGGAGACAACUCAGCGACUAAGCACAGAUUUGGGCCACUAGGAUUCCAGAGAAUUGCUAAGACCAAGUCUCAAACUCUCUGAAAUUUUGUGAUCUUAUGUGUGUUUUUAACUGUCUUCCUCAUUAUAACUUGACUACUACAUGGAGCAGAGACUUUUUUUGGAAUCACUGUAUCCCCAAUACCUUGACCAUAGAUUUCUCAAUAAAUGUAACAUAACUAUAUACAUAUAUAAGACAAUGGAACAGUGGUUUUCAAACUAUGUCCAAACAGCUUAUGAAAGAGAAGAGGCCAUGCUGAAUAGGACUGCAUCUGAUAGGCUUCUGCCCCAAACACAUAUUACAAAGUAAUACUUUACUAUUUAAGAUUUGGGGAUUGUGCGUGUACAAGAUUUGGGGGGAGGGGGGUGAGGAAGAGUUCUAUUUCUAAAGAAAACACUGAAAACCACUGGACUAUAAUCUUCAAGAUUUUUAUGGUAUGGAUAAAGCACUGGGGUUUUUCUAGUUUUCUUUACUACUAAGUUUUGUGUGUCUCUGAGAAAAUCCCAAGUUCUCUGUGCCGCAGCUAUAAAAUAAACAGUUUGAAUGAUCUGAUUUUUAAGAAGGUUCCUUCAAAUUCCAAGCUUAUAAUAAUGCCUGGGGAGAACAGUUUUGGUGAACACUUUCUUUUAGCACCAGAAGACUUACAAUAGAGAAUAAGCACAUUCUCUAGUGUUCUUCAACAAAGAACAAGCCAUCAAAGCUACAGAAUAUACAUGUUAUUUACAAUAUUCUUAUUUACGGUUCAAAGCUUGUCCUUUCUCAGUGCUAGUAACUCUUCAUAUAGCAAAUUUUCUCUGCACUAACUUGGAAACAGGCACAGAAACAAAGUCAUGGAGGCAUUUAGAGCUAUGUCCUUCAUUCCAAUAAAGAUGAAAAAUGUAGGAGGUUCUCUUAAUGUCCCUUCCCCCACUUCCAGAGUCUAAUGUAAAUGAUUAACAUUCAACUUCCUUUUCCAACACUCAAGGUAGGCAAAGUAAGUGCUCUGUGUCACACUAUUCCCUUAAGUGGUAGUUUUUGAUGUUACUUUCUAAAAAUUCUCACUAACUAGCAACUAUCUCCCAGGGUUUAUUUUCAUUAUAGCAUUAUUUCAAUAGAAAAAAACAUUUCUCAAUUAUUUCAAUAUAACAAAUGCAAGUAAAAGAAGGUAUCUCCUUGUGUAUGGAGAAACAGCCUGUAUUACACUAACAUCAUGUGUCCCAGGGAAGGAGAACAAGCUGGGCUAUGCUAAAACAGAAUAAAACACAUCUAAGAGGAACAGAGCUCUAGUUGAUAUAUUGCUCUAUUAUCAUCAUUCUUUUUAUGAAAAGACAGCCCUUCUCUGCUCACAAACUAAAGCAUGAAAUUCUCAGAGCUGAGAGGCUGCCCUGAAGUAUAUUUUAGAUGUCUGCCAACUUUUUUUUGGUCUGUUAGCUUUUACGGCUUGUAUCUAUCAACUGUUACUGUCUUACAAAAUACCAAAUUCAAGUAUUAUUCUCAUUUUUCUUUUAUAGAAUUCUUUAAUAAGUUUUAUCAACUCAAAGAUUGCAGCUGUUUGCUGAAGUUGGUUUUUAUAUUACAUAAUGUUUUUAUGCUCAGAAUUUAGCAGUCUCUUCUCUAAAUAAAAUUUAAUAAAACAAAUCAGAAUAACUAUUGCCAAAUGAGAAUAAACAGGGACAUAUAAAAGGGAAAGUAGGCUCAAAAGUCUUAUUAUGGACUCAUUUGGCUAAGGGGUAUGGUCUGCAGCAGAUCUAAACUCGUAGGUUCCAUUUAAUGCCAUGAACAGAACCAGUAAGGAUCCUCUCCAAAUAGUUGCUAACAGAGUAACCAUUACUAACUUUUCAUUUGAAUUUCAAAUUUUCAUUUGAAUGAGAAUUUUCUCCACAACUUUUUAGUUUUUAUAUAGUUGAUAAAAAUUUAACCAACUCAAACAUUUUAUAUCAAUUUGCAGAUAAAGCUACUCACCAACCUUAGGCAACUACUUCAGAAAGUCCUGGAACUUCAGGAAUAUACUUUCUAUUUGCCAAAUACUUCCUUCUCUAGCCAACAAUAAAUUAUCUGCUUGUCUAAAAAGCAACUUCUUGCGGUUUAUGUUUUUGCCUUAUCUUUUUAAAAAAAUGAGUUAACUACAGAAGUACUGUAAUGAAGCCUAAUAGGUAGUAAGGUUCUUCAUACAAAACCAAUGGAGACUAUAUUAGCAAGAAUCUUAGUAACCUUUUAAGAUUAAGAUUUUCAGAAACCUAGAAGGUUAGAUGGUUAGACAGCAUCACCGACUCAGUGGACAUGAAUUCUGAGCAAACUCCAGGAUAGUGAAGGACAGGAAAGCCUAGUGCUGCAAUCCAUGGGGUCGCAAAGAAGUUGGACAGGACUUAGUGACUAAACAACCACCACCACCUAGAGGAGGGAUGAAAAGAAUCGAGAAAAUACUGUCUAGGCUUUAAAAGAGAAAAAAAGACAUCUAACCUAUACAUUUAAAUUGUGUAAUAAUACUUCAUCUGCCCUUAAAAAUGAGCUGCCAUUACAAGAUUAAAAAUAUCUUAGUUUUAUAACUAUCUGCUAACCCUAUUUUCCCAGUAAGAGACAAAUGAAUGCCAUUUAAUUAGACUGACACCUACCUGUGCUUUCUGAAGCAGUUCAAUUGUAAGAGGAAGCCAAUCAGGAAUGAGUUUCUCCAUUUCCAGACUAACCAUCGCCAGGGCAAGCAUGGAUCCUUUGAACUGCAGAAGUUGGCUGCAGGCCAUACAGUGAAGUAAUUGCUUG
Molecule: RNA transcript, 7655 nt
Organism: Bubalus bubalis (water buffalo)
Lineage: Eukaryota; Metazoa; Chordata; Mammalia; Artiodactyla; Bovidae
Gene: SEPTIN11
Gene name: septin 11
Exons: 11
Source: RefSeq, a predicted model, not a curated record